This 1802-nucleotide ribosomal RNA is filed under the name Triticum aestivum (bread wheat). RNAcentral's name for it is "partial small subunit ribosomal RNA". Lineage: Eukaryota; Viridiplantae; Streptophyta; Magnoliopsida; Poales; Poaceae. The record is from RNAcentral.
GUUUUCAGUCUCUCGCCUCCACCAGCGCCUCCACGCCGCCGAGGAACGGAGCAGGAAGUGACGCCGGAGGAGGACGCUCUGCUCGUCGUCCGCCGCAUCUCGCGCCCGCCCAACCCGAACGCCCCGAAAGGCCACCAAAGCCGUAGCCUUCUUCUUCCUAGAGCUCCCGCAGCAUGUCGGCAUCCACCAGCGGCGGCGGGGGGCUCUCGCCGCAGGCGGCCGCGGCGCUCCAGGAGGGCGUCGGGCUGGUGUUCAUGCGGUGGACGGCGCUGCAGAUGGCGGUGGAGAACGGGUGGGGCGGCCGCGACUCCCGCGCCAAGGCCGACCGGCUCGCCGCCGACGUCCUCGCCUUCUUCACCACCUCCAAAGGUCCAUAUUAUUAUGAUGACUUGGAGGAGAUGAUGUUUGACAGCAUAUCCGAAUCCUUCAAUGCUGACUUUGAGGAUGGAAGUGUUGGGGAGGUUGCUGAACAAGUAUUGAUUAUGCAUGAAGAAUGCCUGCAAAACAACUAUUCGUCGAUUGAGAAGCUAAGGAACACACGUGCUCAAGGAAAUGCUGUUUCCCAAAGUAGAAUGAUGGUAACUGAUGAAGGCGAUGAUAGCUCGGAUGAUAGCUCGGACGAUGACGACGGCGAUGAACCAGCCAGCGCAGAUGAUAUGUCGGUGGAUGAGCCAAAGCCUCCCAAGCCUGCCCCUGACGCUGAUGGGUGGACUGUUGUGCCACCGAAGCGCGGCGGCCGGGGCAAGAAUUAAGCACAGAAGCAAACCCUGGCAACAAACUGCCAUCUGAGAGGCCGUUUUGGUCUGAAGGCUUUGAGGUGUGAUUAGCAAAACCUUGGCAACCACUUCCUGCCACUUGUGCCAUUUUGGUCUUGGAGGUUUUGAAGUGUUGCGCUUCACCUGUAUUACUUCGAUUUUGUCAGGAAUGUUGGUUGUGUAGCAUGUUUUCCUUGGUUACUCUCUUGGUGUUCAGACUUGGCGGCGAAAGAUCUGGAUUGUAAGCGGGUCUGACAUAUCCUUAUGCACAUUUUGAACUGAUGCUUAUCUGUAUCGUCGUAUAAUGCCCGUUUGAAUUCAGCUACCAUUUCAUGUUUCUUUUGCUCAAACAAUAUAAUGUGUAGGUUUUGUUUAUCUAAAAAUUGAACAUGUCAAGUAUCUAAAUUGCCUAUGUUAUUGUCCAGCCUGCUGCAUGCUGUCUAUGUGUAAUUCUGUAACUAUAGUUAGCAUGUACUCGCUCUAUAUCAAAAUGUAAGAUCUAGGAUGUAAUAAAUUACAUGGUAAUAGCCAGGGUAGCUUCACGUUAUGCCGCUCCGCAAAAAAACUAGAAUCUAGGGUGCAGCUCCCAAUUUUUUAUGAAGCUCUUCAAGGGUUUCUGUGGAUACCCCUUCGUUUCUCACCCCUCAACCAAUCAAAUAGAUCCUUUCUACCAGAUUUCUCAUUUUUGAAGCUGGAGCUAGAUGGAGGCCAAACAUUUUCUUUGAUAGUGCUAUAACUUCUGAAUGAGACUGCUCCAAAGUGACUUUGUGAAUCAGAACUGAUUUUGGUGAAGUGGAGCAGUUCCAAACAGGCCCUAACUCUCACGACUGAGAAAUACAAUAAAAUCUCUUGAAGAUCUCCCUGGUAUCAAUCCUUGCAAUAUCAAAGACCACAAGACUACAGUGAAGAGAUUGCAAUUGGACUGGGGCAGCAUAGGUAAUUCAGAAGUGAGGAAAUUCUGUUUUUACCCAGUCAACUUCCCAACCAAAUGUAAUAUUGGUUCCUGUAUUAGCAAUCCUUUUACCAUCUCUCCUUGAUGUAGUAAAC